RNAcentral lists this RNase P RNA (367 nucleotides) under Nocardioides gansuensis. RNAcentral's name for it is "Bacterial RNase P class A". It matches the Rfam family "Bacterial RNase P class A". Rfam says of the family: Ribonuclease P (RNase P) is a ubiquitous endoribonuclease, found in archaea, bacteria and eukarya as well as chloroplasts and mitochondria. Its best characterised activity is the generation of mature 5'-ends of tRNAs by cleaving the 5'-leader elements of precursor-tRNAs. Lineage: Bacteria; Bacillati; Actinomycetota; Actinomycetes; Propionibacteriales; Nocardioidaceae. The record is from Rfam by way of RNAcentral.
UGGGCUGGCCGGGCGACCGCGUCGCUCCCUGCUUCACGGCAGGUGGCGCCGAGGAAGGUCCGGGCUCCACAGGGCAGGGUGAUGGCCAACGGCCAUCCGGGGCAACCCGCGGGAAAGUGCCACAGAGAACAGACCGCCACUGCGUGCAGUGGUAAGGGUGAAACGGUGGUGCAAGAGACCACCAGUGCGGCGGGCGACCGUCGCAGCUCGGCAAACCCCACCCGGAGCAAGGUCAGACAGUGUGCGUGCGAGGGCGGCCCGUCCGAGCACACGGGUAGACCGCACGAGGCGGCCGGCAACGGUCGCCCGAGAUGGAUGGUCGCCACGCUUCGGCGGACAGAACCCGGCCUACAGGCCAGCCCAUUCG